RNAcentral lists this unclassified non-coding RNA (433 nucleotides) under soil metagenome. RNAcentral's name for it is "partial contains 5.8S ribosomal RNA, internal transcribed spacer 2, and large subunit ribosomal RNA". The stretch from base 1 to 120 matches the Rfam family "5.8S ribosomal RNA", at positions 35 to 154 of the family's 154-position model. The record is from RNAcentral.
GAUGAAGAACGUAGCGAAAUGCGAUACGUAAUGUGAAUUGCAGAAUUCAGUGAAUCAUCGAAUCUUUGAACGCAUAUUGCGCUCUCUGGUAUUCCGGAGAGCAUGCUUGUUUGAGUAUCAGUAAACACCUCAACUUCCAUAUCUUUUUUUGAAAUGGGAGUUGGACUUGAGUGAUCCCAACGCUUUUCCUCACCGAAAAGUGGCGGGUUACUUGAAAUGCAGGUGCAGCUGGACUUUUCUCUGAGCUAUAAGCAUAUCUAUUUAGUCUGCCUAAAAAACAGAUUAUUACCUUUGCUGCAGCUAACAUAAAGGAGAUUAGUUCUUGUGCUGACUGAUGCAGGAUUCACAAAGACAGCUUCGGCCGACUUUGUAAACUCGAUCUCAAAUCAAGUAAGUCUACCCGCUGAACUUAAGCAUAUCAAUAAGCGGAGGA